GUCCCUUUUCUUUCAAAAUCCUUUGUCUUUGACUUUUGACUGUUUGGUUACGAUAUGUCUAGAUGUAGCCUUUUUGGGAUUCAUUGUAGUGAGAUUCAGUGCACUUUUUAAAGUCGUAAAGUCUUGUCCACUUCCUACUCCAGUUUUGGGAAAUUUUGGGCCAUUUCUUGAUUCUGUAAGCCUUCUGGCACUUUCUUUUUCUCUGCUUUUCUCCUUAGUUUUAUAACAACCGUGGUCACCCCAUGGUGUCCUGUAAGUACCUUAGGCCUUCUUCCUUCUCUUCAAUCCCCACUCUUCUCAUUGUUUGACUUCAGACGCUUUUGACUUCAAGUUUGCUGAGUCUUUCAUUUGUUUGAUCCGGUCUCCUUUUGGACCCUUGUGGGAAUUUUUCAUUUAAAUAAUUGCAUUCUUCAGUUCUCAGACAUAUUUGGUUCUGUUUUAUAUUUUCUGUAUUUUUUUUUCUUUGGUACCAGGGAUUGAACUCAGGACUGCGCUUGUGGGGCAGGUGAGAUGCUGCUGAACUAAACCCCUGGCCCUUCUGUAUUUUUUUACACCCUCACUUUGCUUAUGCAUCGUCCCUUGGCCUGCCGUGCAUUUCGAUGGUGGCUAUUUCCAGACCUUUGAUGAUGGAAACCUCCUUUAUUUAUGAUACCUGGGGAAUUUGCUUUCCCAGUGCUUGGGCCAUUCUCCCAUUUCCUCAUCUUCCCCGUGACUUUGUUCAUGCCUUUGAGAAGGAAAGCAGAGCCCAGGGAGAGCAGGCAGGCAGGCGACCCUCCCUGCUGCCCUUCUGCGCAAACCUGGGCCGGCGCCUCCCUGGCGGCUCGCCUGGUCUCUCGCGCCCCCUGGCGUCCUUCCAGAGUACCACGGGCUGCCGCCUCCCCUCCCCUGGUCUGCAGUGGUCCCUGGGCUCCUGUGUUGCCAAAGCAUACAGAACAUCUCAAGUCUUGAGUCUCACUGUAAAAGUUUAUCCACAUUUUUCUCUGCUGCCUCUGAGCGUGUCCAGUGAACGUGCUUCAGUUUGCUCAUCAGUUAAUUAAAUGUUCCUCCUCCAGCCUCGAGUGGUAUCCAUACUUCUGAACUCUCCCUGGUCGGAUGGCAGCUCUGGCUGAGUCCCGGGCCCUGUGCUGAGGGGCUGAGAACAGGCAUCUGUCCCCUGUGUGGUCGGGGGCCGCUGCUUGGCAUCACUGGGUGGGUCCAGGAAGGGUGGGAGCCACAGGGUCGUGUGCCUCCCUCUUUCGCUCUGCCAGUCUUUCCUGGUGCCUCAGGCUCCUGAGAGGUGAACUGCAACUCAUGGGGAGCUGCAGUUUUCUUUCACACUCUUUGUGAGAAACCUAGAAAUUCUUUCACUGAUCUUUUUAAAAUUUGUUGGGUACUGAGGACUAAACCCACACCCUUUCAAAAAAAAUUUUGAGCCAGUCUCAGUAAGUCACAACAUUGCCCAGGUUGGUAUUGAAUUUAAAUUUUCCCGCCUCAGCCUCCAAAAGUGCCAGCAGCAUAGCGAUACAGGGGGAAGAGACGCAACUUCCAAACCUGCCAGGUAUGGAAACGCCAGUUCGUGUUCUCUAAAAUCGAAGAAUGGAUUCUAGGAACAACGGAGGUGAAGAGCAGGGAAAUUUAUUGAGAGAAAGAGAGCUUCUGCCUAAGGGAGACAGAAGGGGACCAGAGAGUGGGGCGCCAGGGACCCUAUUUCCCAGGGGGGUUUUAUGGAGCAAAGCCAGGAGGUGAGGCGGGUUCAAGGUGGGACAAAACUAUAAGACCCAACGGAAAAUUCCAAGGUGGGCAUGAGGUGGGGCAAAACCAUGACCGACCAAUAGGAUUACAAGUACAGUCACCCAGGUAAUAUUGAUUAAAUGGGGAUCAAAUGGGAAAACAAGUCACAUACAAGGGAUUUCCCAUUUAGAAAAUCAAUCACUGCUAUCUAUCCCCAGGGGAAGUAGUACCUCUUUUCCUUUUUCCAUAAUGCUAACCAGUGAAUGGGCCUCAGUUGUUCCCCAUGUUGGCUCCACCCUGUGUUGGUUACUUGAGGGCUGUGGCCUCGAGGGCGGCCCUGUCUCACUGCCUACAAGAUAUCUAAUUAAAUUACCUGUCUACAAUAAUAGGUCUGCAGCACCACACACCUCAUGGCCUCUUCCGCUGCAUCCAGUGUCAGGCGAGUCACUCAGUCCUCGUGGACAGCACGGAGGUUGGUCUCCAUCUCUCACUGCAAGGCUGGAAGGGAAUCUGAGCCCACCCUGAGAUAGCGUGUCUCUGCUGAGGCAUCAGCCUCAGCACCAGUGUCCCCUGGGUGUGAAGACACCUUUAUGGGUCGGUUCUGUUAUUGUUUGGCAUGGACAAGGCAAGAGGAUUCAAAAUGAACAGAUGGAAAUGAACCUGUAACAUAGAGAGGAAAUGCACACGCACGCCCCUGGAAUCUUGGCUUGGCUCCAAAAGCAGUGGCCAGCAUGGGUAUCAUGGGAAGCUCACACCUCAGCCCCCAGAGGAUGGUGACAUGGUCAGGUUGGUGCAGCCUCUGACAGCCCAGACCUCACAGGAGCUGGGCUGGAACUGCCAGGGCAGCUUGUGAGGCUCUGUGCACAUCACAUGAGUUGUCAUGCACAAGCACACUUCCAUGUUGCUGGCAUCUUGGAAGCCACCUACAAAUGCUAUUAUCGGAACUACCCUGAACCGUGUGUGUGUGCAUGUGUGUGUGUGUGUACAUGUGCUGGGGCUGCACCCAGGGCCUCCCCUGCUAAGGGAGUGCCCUGCACUGAGCGACACUCCAGACCUUCAGCUUUUUAUUAAAAGUUUUUAUUGUCCUUAAUAUUGACUUUAUUUACAUGAUCUUUUUUAAGAUAAGAGAAUGCACUAUAUUCGUUAGUAUCAUGGCACCUCACGAGUCCUUCCGCCAUGGUAGAUCUGUUGCCCUGGAGCCCAGCCAGUGUGGAAAACCUUUCUAUAGAAGGAAACCAAGAGAGAAGAAGCAUUGUUGAUGAUCAUGAAAGAAGAAAGGAACCCACUGC
RNAcentral lists this long non-coding RNA (2999 nucleotides) under Heterocephalus glaber (naked mole-rat). RNAcentral describes it as "lncRNA (ENSHGLG00100033291.1)". The record is from RNAcentral. Lineage: Eukaryota; Metazoa; Chordata; Mammalia; Rodentia; Bathyergidae.